UGGGGAAUAUUGCACAAUGGGCGCAAGCCUGAUGCAGCCAUGCCGCGUGUGUGAAGAAGGCCUUCGGGUUGUAAAGCACUUUCAGCGGGGAGGAAGGCGUUAAGGUUAAUAACCUUGGCGAUUGACGUUACCCGCAGAAGAAGCACCGGCUAACUCCGUGCCAGCAGCCGCGGUAAUACGGAGGGUGCAAGCGUUAAUCGGAAUUACUGGGCGUAAAGCGCACGCAGGCGGUCUGUCAAGUCGGAUGUGAAAUCCCCGGGCUCAACCUGGGAACUGCAUUCGAAACUGGCAGGCGAGAGUCUUGUAGAGGGGGGUAGAAUUCCAGGUGUAGCGGUGAAAUGCGUAUAGAUCUGGAGGGAUACCGGUGGCGAAGGCGGCCCCCUGGACAAAGACUGACGCUCAGGUGCGAAAGCGUGUGGAGCAAACAGG
Molecule: ribosomal RNA, 429 nt
Filed under: Chloroflexota bacterium
Lineage: Bacteria; Bacillati; Chloroflexota
Description: Chloroflexi bacterium partial 16S ribosomal RNA
Rfam family: Bacterial small subunit ribosomal RNA
Source: RNAcentral